ACGCUGGCGGCGUGCCUAAUACAUGCAAGUCGAGCGAACGGACGAGAAGCUUGCUUCUCUGAUGUUAGCGGCGGACGGGUGAGUAACACGUGGAUAACCUACCUAUAAGACUGGGAUAACUUCGGGAAACCGGAGCUAAUACCGGAUAAUAUUUUGAACCGCAUGGUUCAAAAGUGAAAGACGGUCUUGCUGUCACUUAUAGAUGGAUCCGCGCUGCAUUAGCUAGUUGGUAAGGUAACGGCUUACCAAGGCAACGAUGCAUAGCCGACCUGAGAGGGUGAUCGGCCACACUGGAACUGAGACACGGUCCAGACUCCUACGGGAGGCAGCAGUAGGGAAUCUUCCGCAAUGGGCGAAAGCCUGACGGAGCAACGCCGCGUGAGUGAUGAAGGUCUUCGGAUCGUAAAACUCUGUUAUUAGGGAAGAACAUAUGUGUAAGUAACUGUGCACAUCUUGACGGUACCUAAUCAGAAAGCCACGGCUAACUACGUGCCAGCAGCCGCGGUAAUACGUAGGUGGCAAGCGUUAUCCGGAAUUAUUGGGCGUAAAGCGCGCGUAGGCGGUUUUUUAAGUCUGAUGUGAAAGCCCACGGCUCAACCGUGGAGGGUCAUUGGAAACUGGAAAACUUGAGUGCAGAAGAGGAAAGUGGAAUUCCAUGUGUAGCGGUGAAAUGCGCAGAGAUAUGGAGGAACACCAGUGGCGAAGGCGACUUUCUGGUCUGUAACUGACGCUGAUGUGCGAAAGCGUGGGGAUCAAACAGGAUUAGAUACCCUGGUAGUCCACGCCGUAAACGAUGAGUGCUAAGUGUUAGGGGGUUUCCGCCCCUUAGUGCUGCAGCUAACGCAUUAAGCACUCCGCCUGGGGAGUACGACCGCAAGGUUGAAACUCAAAGGAAUUGACGGGGACCCGCACAAGCGGUGGAGCAUGUGGUUUAAUUCGAAGCAACGCGAAGAACCUUACCAAAUCUUGACAUCCUUUGACAACUCUAGAGAUAGAGCCUUCCCCUUCGGGGGACAAAGUGACAGGUGGUGCAUGGUUGUCGUCAGCUCGUGUCGUGAGAUGUUGGGUUAAGUCCCGCAACGAGCGCAACCCUUAAGCUUAGUUGCCAUCAUUAAGUUGGGCACUCUAAGUUGACUGCCGGUGACAAACCGGAGGAAGGUGGGGAUGACGUCAAAUCAUCAUGCCCCUUAUGAUUUGGGCUACACACGUGCUACAAUGGACAAUACAAAGGGCAGCGAAACCGCGAGGUUAAGCAAAUCCCAUAAAGUUGUUCUCAGUUCGGAUUGUAGUCUGCAACUCGACUACAUGAAGCUGGAAUCGCUAGUAAUCGUAGAUCAGCAUGCUACGGUGAAUACGUUCCCGGGUCU
This 1367-nucleotide ribosomal RNA is filed under the name uncultured bacterium. Its description in RNAcentral is "16S ribosomal RNA". It matches the Rfam family "Bacterial small subunit ribosomal RNA", at positions 33 to 1381 of the family's 1533-position model. The record is from RNAcentral.